AGAGUUUGAUCCUGGCUCAGAGCGAACGCUGGCGGCGUGCUUAACACAUGCAAGUCGAACGCGCAGCAUUCUGUAGCAAUACAGGGUGUGGGCGCGUGGCGAACGGGUGCGUAACACGUGGAUAACCUUCCUUCAGGUGGGGAAUAACCCAGUGAAAAUUGGGCUAAUACCGCAUAACAUGACGAUGGCACAUGCUGUUGUCUUCAAAGGCGCAAGUCGCCAGAAGAGGGAUCCGCGGCCGAUUAGCUUGUUGGCGAGGUAAUGGCUCACCAAGGCAUUGAUCGGUAGCCGGACUGAGAGGUUGACCGGCCACACUGGAACUGAGACACGGCCCAGACUCCUACGGGAGGCAGCAGUGGGGAAUCUUGCACAAUGGACGAAAGUCUGAUGCAGCAACGCCGCGUGGGGGAUGAAGCUUCUCGGAGUGUAAACCCCU
This 436-nucleotide ribosomal RNA is filed under the name uncultured bacterium. RNAcentral's name for it is "bacterial SSU rRNA". It matches the Rfam family "Bacterial small subunit ribosomal RNA", at positions 8 to 434 of the family's 1533-position model. The record is from RNAcentral.